Molecule: ribosomal RNA, 497 nt
Filed under: uncultured bacterium
Lineage: Bacteria
Description: partial 16S ribosomal RNA
Rfam family: Bacterial small subunit ribosomal RNA
Source: RNAcentral
GACGAACGCUGGCGGCGUGCCUAAUACAUGCAAGUAGAACGCUGAAGCGAGGAGCUUGCUCUUCUUGGAUGAGUUGCGCACGGGUGAGUAACGCGUAGGUAACCUGCCUUGUAGCGGGGGAUAACUAUUGGAAACGAUAGCUAAUACCGCAUAACAAUGGAUGACACAUGUCAUUUAUUUGAAAGGGGCAAUUGCUCCACUACAAGAUGGACCUGCGUUGUAUUAGCUAGUAGGUGAGGUAAUGGCUCACCUAGGCGACGAUACAUAGCCGACCUGAGAGGGUGAUCGGCCACACUGGGACUGAGACACGGCCCAGACGCCUACGGGAGGCAGCAGUAGGGAAUCUUCGGCAAUGGGGGCAACCCUGACCGAGCAACGCCGCGUGAGUGAAGAAGGGUUUCGGAUCGUAAAGCUCUGUUGUAAGUCAAGAACGGGUGUGAGAGUGGAAAGUUCACACUGUGACGGUAGCUUACCAGAAAGGGACGGCUAACUACGUG